This 467-nucleotide ribosomal RNA is filed under the name uncultured bacterium. Its description in RNAcentral is "partial 16S ribosomal RNA". It matches the Rfam family "Bacterial small subunit ribosomal RNA", at positions 28 to 507 of the family's 1533-position model. The record is from RNAcentral.
GACGAACGCUGGCGGCGUGCUUAACACAUGCAAGUCGAACGGAAAGGCCCUGCUUUUGUGGGGUGCUCGAGUGGCGAACGGGUGAGUAACACGUGAGUAACCUGCCCUUGACUUUGGGAUAACUUCAGGAAACUGGGGCUAAUACCGGAUAGGAGCUCCUGCUGCAUGGUGGGGGUUGGAAAGUUUCGGCGGUUGGGGAUGGACUCGCGGCUUAUCAGCUUGUUGGUGGGGUAGUGGCUUACCAAGGCUUUGACGGGUAGCCGGCCUGAGAGGGUGACCGGCCACAUGGGAACUGAGAUCCGGCCCGAACCCUACGGGAGGCAGCAGUGGGGAAUAUUGCACAACGGGCGGAAGCCUGAUGCAGCAACGCCGCGUGCGGGAUGACGGCCUUCGGGUUGUAAACCGCUUUCGCCUGUGACGAAGCGUGAGUGACGGUAAUGGGUAAAGAAGCACCGGCUAACUACGUG